GACGAACGCUGGCGGCGUGCUUAACACAUGCAAGUCGAACGGAAAGGCCCUGCUUUUGUGGGGUGCUCGAGUGGCGAACGGGUGGGUAACACGUGAGUAACCUGCCCUUGACUUUGGGAUAACUUCAGGAAACUGGGGCUAAUACCGGAUAGGAGCUCCUGCUGCAUGGUGGGGGUUGGAAAGUUUCGGCGGUUGGGGAUGGACUCGCGGCUUAUCAGCUUGUUGGUGGGGUAGUGGCUUACCAAGGCUUUGACGGGUAGCCGGCCUGAGAGGGUGACCGGCCACAUUGGGACUGAGAUACGGCCCAGACUCCUACGGGAGGCAGCAGUGGGGAAUAUUGCACAAUGGGCGGAAGCCUGAUGCAGCAACGCCGCGUGCGGGAUGACGGCCUUCGGGUUGUAAACCGCUUCCGCCUGUGACGAAGCGUGAGUGACGGUAAUGGGUAAAGAAGCACCGGCUAACUACGUG
RNAcentral lists this ribosomal RNA (468 nucleotides) under uncultured bacterium. RNAcentral describes it as "partial 16S ribosomal RNA". It matches the Rfam family "Bacterial small subunit ribosomal RNA", at positions 28 to 507 of the family's 1533-position model. The record is from RNAcentral.